UAUUAUCAUUUUUUUAUGUUUUCCUUAUUUAUUUCCAUUUUAUCUUUAUGAUUACUUUUGACGUUUUUCAUUGUACGUUGCCUUUCAUUCUUAAAAAAGUAAGUAUUUUUUUCACUAGUUUAAACUUUAAAAUAAUAGCAUUUAUUUCCUUCCUUUUUUCAAUGUGAACUUUUCUUUUACAAAAUAAGAAUUACCUUUUCAAACUAAUUCUUUUCAAUUUUUUCCUUUUGAGCAGCUGAAACGAAAACUCGUUUAAAUAAUCAGAUCAUCUUCAGGAUUAAGGUGAGUCAAACUUGAAUGAUUUUUAGAGAUUGAUUACAGGAUUACAGAAUAACAUCUUUGUUUUUUUCAAAAGCUUUUUUUUUUUUUUUUUUGCAAUCAAAUGACUAACGUGAACUAUUUGAACUAUUUAUUGUUGUUUAUGUUCACUGUUUGGAAUGAGACUAACCAAGUCAUGGUAAGUAGAAACACAGUUUCCUUUAACCUUUUCAUUGCAAACGUUUAGCUUUUACUUUGAAAGAGUUUUGCUGUUUUUGUGUUAAUAAUCAUUAAGGAGAUAUUUAGUGAUAUCUAUAUUUUUAAAAGAAAAGCUGCAGAAAUGACUCCAUCUCGGAAACAUGCUGUGAGUAUGGCAGCCUUUAUUUUGAAAUCCCUACAGACGCAGCAAGUUCCAUGUUUCUACUGAAUAAGAGUCUUGUUCCAGGCUGGAGGAUGGAUGGAGUUCCCAAAGGCCUCAUCAAUCAGAGCCUGGAUCCCAGUCAUGCCUCCAGCAGAACAGAGCAGACCCACUGGAGGAGCAGCGUUCUUCAGGAUGACCAGCAUCUCUGUUUGGAAGUGGACUCUUCUAGUUCCUCUUGACAGAAUCCCCCAUCAUCAUCCUCCUCCUUCAUCCUUCACGCCAUCCUUCAGCUGUUCAAGUUCAAACAGAUCCAAAG
Oryzias latipes (Japanese medaka) is the source of this 935-nucleotide non-coding RNA. The record is from RefSeq and is a predicted model, not a curated record. Lineage: Eukaryota; Metazoa; Chordata; Actinopteri; Beloniformes; Adrianichthyidae.